Oncorhynchus gorbuscha (pink salmon) is the source of this 311-nucleotide long non-coding RNA. RefSeq lists it as uncharacterized. The record is from RefSeq and is a predicted model, not a curated record. The transcript is spliced from 3 exons. Lineage: Eukaryota; Metazoa; Chordata; Actinopteri; Salmoniformes; Salmonidae.
UGCAAGCUAUCUUUGUACUAGCAUGCGAUGCCAUAUAUUUGACGCAGAGCCUUGUCCCAGUCUCUAGACCUGCCUGUCUGUGUGGUGGAUGACCACCUGACCUCUGAAGCUGUCAAUGAGAUGGAGCAGAGCAAUUCUACCAGGAGCAGAGCAACCUCAGUGAUGGAAACCACAGAAGAGGGGAAGCUCAACAAUGUAGAACAUCUGACACUUAUGGACUUCCUUCAAAACCUAACUGAGAAGUAUGUUCUGUUUUCUUUGGUACUAUCACACCUUCAAGGAAAUAGGAUCAAAUUAGAAACUGAUCAAUC